Molecule: non-coding RNA, 31 nt
Filed under: Mus musculus (house mouse)
Lineage: Eukaryota; Metazoa; Chordata; Mammalia; Rodentia; Muridae
Source: RNAcentral
UAAACACGUUUUAUAAACUGAAUGUAAAUUU